RNAcentral lists this long non-coding RNA (959 nucleotides) under Helianthus annuus (common sunflower). Lineage: Eukaryota; Viridiplantae; Streptophyta; Magnoliopsida; Asterales; Asteraceae. The record is from RNAcentral.
ACUGUGGGUAGAUUGGUUGAUAUCAGAAACAUUGUAAAAGAUCUUAACACUGUGAAUUAUAACAAAUGUUUGAAGUAUUGCACUUGGUCAUUCAUUGUGAGAAUUUGAUCUCGGGAAAUUAUCGUAACUGCUGUAUUGAUCAUUAACCCGGUUUUUGUGAAAUUCGUUAAGGUUCGAAUCUCAUGACUACCGUUAAGGUUUGAUUUGGGUUUUACACCAAUACGUAUUCUAUUCUGUUAAACCACCAAAAACACUCCCAACUACACCCUUACAAUCAAACAAACUAUUAAAUCAUCAGAAGAUCCAGAAUAAUAAAGUACAUGCCUAAUUAUCGAAAGAAGUAGAAUCAAGAAGUUUGUUAACUCAAUCCUGCAUGCUGAAUUGUGAGUUAUUCUUCUUUUAUAAACUCUUUUCUCACAGUUUGUGAGUUAUUAACUGUUUUACAAUACUCCAAAUUAUUUUCAGAAUUAUAACUUACAGUGAUUAAGUUUAUGUAAUCACCAAAUUACAGCCGGUAUGUGGGGUAUUGUAUACAUUACUUGAUAAUCGUCACCAUUGGGGCAGCCAUUGGGUGAUAUGACCAUAAUCACAGACACCAUUGGACGUAUGGGCCAAUGGGUCGAGUGGUAAAGUACUGUGGGUAGAUUGGUUGAUAUCAGAAACAUUGUAAAAGAUCUUAACACUGUGAAUUAUAACAAAUGUGUCGUUUUCAGUAAAAUGAAUAAUUCACUCAGUAUUUCCCGCUGACAAAAUCUUUUUAAAACGCGUUUCAGGUAAUUACAAUAGAUUGGAGCAAGGAUUGGAUCCGACACUGAAGGACUUCAAGAAGUGGCUUAUUUUCAAAUUAAGAAAUAUUGUUUUUAUUAAAAGCUACCUUUGUAAAACAUGGAAUUUAUUCCAUCUUUUUAAAUAAAAUCCGGUGUUUCUAAACUCUGAUAUUUUUCCUAACUCACGGUCCU